Molecule: non-coding RNA, 1557 nt
Organism: Doryrhamphus excisus (bluestripe pipefish)
Lineage: Eukaryota; Metazoa; Chordata; Actinopteri; Syngnathiformes; Syngnathidae
Source: RefSeq, a predicted model, not a curated record
UGAGUUUAGUCUAGUCGUCCAUCAUAGUUAAUUGCUCGAUAUAAAAUUCAAUGUUUACAAUUUUUAUAUUUUUAUAGUUAGGGGAUAGAAAACCGGAUCAGGACUUUCUAAAUACAUUUUUAAACAUUAGAGCUACAUGAAAUAACACCCCUUUACACUCCUAUUCAUGUUUCAACGGCAUUGUCCAGCUCUGCUGAAACCACGCUCGCGAGAGCAGAUGUUCACGCGAUAACUCGCCGUAUAUACAGGAAGUUCUUGUAAACAACAGCCGUAAUUGCCUGCACCUCCGAGGUUCAUAGAAAUAAAACGUGCUACAAAAAUACAUUGAUUAAAUGAUGCUGUGUAGUAGUUGAAAACAGCCUAGUCGUUAAAAAUAUGCUUACGUAAAGAGGUUUUGUAUGCUAUGCCUGGAACCGGUUAACCUGGAUAAACGAGGGAUUAGUGUACGUAGAAAAGUUUGUUUUUACAGAGUACAGAUGUUAAUCAUUGCUGCAUAGUUGUUGCCGUGAUUCCCAUGAUGUCAUUCACGGUUUUGUUAAUGAUUUCUAUGUAGCAACCAGUGAGCCACCGUUAGUCAUUCAUGAAGGACGUGGAUGAAGUUAUCGUUUGGCACCUGUCAUCCAUAUAAGGGCAACCUGAACAUGAAGAUCCUCACCAUGAUGAUUCCUGUCAGGAGAGCAGUGCUGGUGCCCAUCACAACAAAGCUGUCAAUGAACCAGGUGGACCAGAUGACACCAUUCGAGACCCCCAUCACCUUGAGGGUCUCCUUGAGACGGAGCUCCUUUUCCAGAACGAUGCUUUUGACUAUCAUGGAGACAGAGUACACCCAGGCCAGAACCAUGAAGAUGGGGAAACAGCGGUUCAGCGUGAGCAUGAAGCUGGACAAACAAGAGCAGGGAGGACGUUAAAGUUUAUUUUGGAGGUAAACACCCAGCGGCCAUUCUUUCCCCGUCUGAGUCCGAAUGAUACCAUGUUCUACGAUAUCCUGGAGGUAAGCAAACCCCCCCCAAACAUAGCGCAGGUCAUCCAUCGGAUCCGCCCUUGGGCCUGGGUCCCAAUACCUGAUAGAAAUACACACAUACCAGUGUAAGUAUACUGCAUGUAAUAUUGAGUAUUAUAAUUGCAAUACACACACAUUCUAACCUGUCUUUGACUUUAUUGGUCCGCUCCACAGCAUCGAUAUCCAUACGGAUCUUGAACUUCACAUGAGGCGGGACUUUGGCACUCCAAGGGUGCAUGUUCACAAAGACGAGGCCGGCCCAGAACUUGCCGUCCUCCAGCAGGUCCAAGGCCCGAUAAGUGACUGCGUCCUCGUUGGGCAGAGCCUCAAAUUUAUCCAAGAUCAGGCACUGGACCAGAGGUAAAGGCCGCAUGCUAUUGCAGCAUUCAGCCGUACGGUGGGGGGUGAACGUGCUCCAGAGUACACCCAAUUAAACGCCUUCCUUUUCUGUGUGUCUGAUUUUGGAUGACAAUGAGGACAAUGGAGCUGGGGGGGACAAUGGAGGCCGUUGGUGCCACGCAUUCACCCUGACGAGUGAAUCUUGGAUUCCCACAAGU